Long non-coding RNA from Lemur catta (Ring-tailed lemur), 1060 nucleotides. RefSeq lists it as uncharacterized. Lineage: Eukaryota; Metazoa; Chordata; Mammalia; Primates; Lemuridae. The transcript has 5 exons. The record is from RefSeq and is a predicted model, not a curated record.
CCUGACCGGCGGGAGGGAGCCCCCGCCCCGCGCCGUGACGACUGCGGACCCACCGAGCCCCGCUCCCGCCGCGGCCCGGGGUGCGGGCGGGCGGCCCCUCGGCGGGAGCCGGCCAGGAUGCCGGGGACAUGAGCAAUGGAUGAUUUUGGCUUCCUCUGAAUAACUCCUGAGAGGGCAUGUGUAGUUCCUCUGUGGGAGGACAUUGUCACCUGUGUCAACAGCUUUGAGGCUUUAGCUAAACUUGUGGGAGAGAAAGAUAUGGCAUGUGGAAGACACUGUGCAUGAGGUGAAUGAGGAGUUCUUCCAGCUCUCUUCUCCAGCCCUGGAGCUCCAGAAAGAGGAGGAUGAGCCAGACCCACUGCCCCCAGGUGAAUGCUGCACAUUUGUGCGUUUGCUCUAAGCUGAGGGGUCAGUUCCUCUGUGAACCCGCCCUCCGUCCACCUCAGACGGGCAGCCGUGAAGGUAGCUCGACAGCAGAGGGACUAGGUAGCUGCAGCAGCCUGUCCUCAGCUGCACUGAGGGGCCAGAAGAGCAUGACUCGUUGAGGAUAAAGUAACAGGUGGCUCCCAGCAUCUCCCCUUGUGAGUGGCAGGAAGAUAAACUUCACCCACUGGAGACAAGUGGCCCAUAUGGAGAGAAGCUGGGACCCUGGGCCCUGAAGAGCCACCAGGCCCUGGAGCUGGAGGUGAGGAGAGUCCACCUCGCUCAGAGGAUUGAAGACCUGGAGUGGGAGCUGUCCCUGCUCCAUGAGGCGGCCAACAGCAGUUUGAGCAUGGGAGGGAGCUGGCCCAGCUGACACAGCGGCCUAAGGGGCACUGAGUCACAUCAGAUGCUGCAUGGUGGCCACCUCCGGGAGGUGCCUUCUCACCGAGAACAUGAACGGGCUCCCCUGGUAGGAAGGAGUGGGCAUCUGGGGCCCGGAGUGUGUGCUGGUUUUACGACGUGCUCCUACAGGGAAACACCUGGAUUUCUUUCAGAGCCUGGACCUCAGCUUGUGCUCAAUUUUGCCUUGAACUUUCUGGGGUGAGGGAAAAUAAACUGACAUGGGUUGACAAAAUCA